Molecule: ribosomal RNA, 460 nt
Filed under: Nocardiaceae bacterium 'ARUP UnID 457'
Lineage: Bacteria; Bacillati; Actinomycetota; Actinomycetes; Mycobacteriales; Nocardiaceae
Description: bacterial SSU rRNA
Rfam family: Bacterial small subunit ribosomal RNA
Source: RNAcentral
GGACGAACGCUGGCGGCGUGCUUAACACAUGCAAGUCGAGCGGUAAGGCCCUUCGGGGUACACGAGCGGCGAACGGGUGAGUAACACGUGGGUGAUCUGCCUCGUACUCUGGGAUAAGCCUGGGAAACUGGGUCUAAUACCGGAUAUGACCAUUAGUCGCAUGGCUGGUGGUGGAAAGAUUUAUCGGUGCGAGAUGGGCCCGCGGCCUAUCAGCUUGUUGGUGGGGUAACGGCCUACCAAGGCGACGACGGGUAGCCGACCUGAGAGGGUGAUCGGCCACACUGGGACUGAGACACGGCCCAGACUCCUACGGGAGGCAGCAGUGGGGAAUAUUGCACAAUGGGCGGAAGCCUGAUGCAGCGACGCCGCGUGCGGGAUGACGGCCUUCGGGUUGUAAACCGCUUUCGACAGGGACGAAGCGCAAGUGACGGUACCUGUAGAAGAAGCACCGGCCAACUAC